AAAAGGCGUUUGAGUCGCGUGUCCUGGACCCGAAGCGGGAUGAUCUAGCCCUGAGCAGGUUGAAGCGCGGGUAAGACCGCGUGGAGGACCGAACCCACCUGGGUUGAAAACCGGGGGGAUGACUUGGGGCUAGGGGUGAAAGGCCAAUCAAAUUCCGUGAUAGCUGGUUCUCUCCGAAAUGCAUUUGGGUGCAGCGUCGGGUCAUUACGUCCCGGGGGUAGAGCUACUGGAUGCUUGCGGGCCCGUAUCGGGUACCAACAGCAACCAAACUCCGAAUACCGGUGACGCGUAUCCCGGCAGUGAGUCGGCGGGGGAUAAGCUUCGUCGUCGAAAGGGAAACAGCCCAGACCGUCGUCUAAGGUCCCGAAGCGUGUGCUAAGUGGGAAAGGAUGUGGAGUCGCAUAGACAGCCAGGAGGUUGGCUCAGAAGCAGCCACCCUUGAAAGAGUGCGUAACAGCUCACUGGUCUAGUGGUUCCGCGCCGACAAUGUAGCGGGGCUCAAGCACACCACCGAAGACGCGGCAGUAUUUUGUACUGGGUAGGAGAGCGUCCCAUGAGGGGCGAAGCGGCCGUGUGAACGCGCCGUGGACUUCAUGGGAGUGAGAAUGCAGACAUGAGUAGCGAGAGACGGGUGAAGAUCCCGUCCGCUGGAUGACCAAGGGUUCCAGGGCCACGUUCAUCGUCCCUGGGUGAGUCGGGUCCUAAGGCGAGGCCGACAGGCGUAGUCGAAUGGAUGAACGGGUCGAUAUUCCCGUACCGGCUUUCAGCCGCCAAAACCGAGGCUUGGAGUACUAACCUCCGGGUCCGGGCUUACUGCUCCUUCGGGGGCGGGAUGCCCUGGCCUGUUGGGACCGAUCCUUGUAGUAGGUCAGCGCAGGAGUGACGCAGAAGGGUAGCCGGCCGCGGAGGUGGUCUUCCGUGGUCAAGCACGCAGGGCGUGGGACAGGCAAAUCCGUCCCGCAUGGGUCCGAGGUGCGAUGAUGGGGGCCUUAUGGCCCGAUAUCCGGUGAUCCCGGCUGCCGAGAAAAGCUUCGGCGUCAGGCUCAAAGCCGCCCGUACCCCAAACCGACACUGGUGGUCAGGUAGAGAAUACCAAAGCGAUCGAGCGAAUCCUGGUCAAGGAACUCGGCAAAUCACUCCCGUUCCUUCGGUUUAAGGGAGACCCCCGAUGGUGAACACACUUGCUGUGGGAGCUUUUGGGGGUGGCACAGACCAGGGGGUAGCGACUGUUUACCAAAAACACAGGUGCAUGCGAAGGCGCAAGCCGCUGUAUAUGCACUGACGCCUGCCCGGUGCCGGAAGGUUAAGAGGAUCCGUCAGCCUUCGGGUGAAGCGGUGAAUUCAAGCCCCGGUAAACGGCGGUGGUAACUAUAACCAUCCUAAGGUAGCGAAAUUCCUUGUCGGGUAAGUUCCGACCUGCACGAAUGGCGU
This 1431-nucleotide ribosomal RNA is filed under the name human gut metagenome. Its description in RNAcentral is "bacterial LSU rRNA". It matches the Rfam family "Bacterial large subunit ribosomal RNA", at positions 687 to 2002 of the family's 2925-position model. The record is from RNAcentral.